AAUCAACGCUGGCGGCGUGCCUAACACAUGCAAGUCGAACGCGAAAGUCCCGCAAGGGAUGAGUAGAGUGGCAAACGGGUGAGUAACACGUGGGUGACCUGCCUUCGAGCGGGGGAUAACGUCCCGAAAGGGACGCUAAUACCGCAUGACAUCCUGCCUUUGAAGAGGUGGAGAUCAAAGCUGGGGAUCGCAAGACCUAGCACUUGAAGAGGGGCCCGCGUCUGAUUAGCUAGUUGGUGGGGUAACGGCUCAC
RNAcentral lists this ribosomal RNA (253 nucleotides) under uncultured bacterium. RNAcentral describes it as "partial 16S ribosomal RNA". It matches the Rfam family "Bacterial small subunit ribosomal RNA", at positions 32 to 268 of the family's 1533-position model. The record is from RNAcentral.